Nicotiana tabacum (common tobacco) is the source of this 715-nucleotide non-coding RNA. The record is from RefSeq and is a predicted model, not a curated record. Lineage: Eukaryota; Viridiplantae; Streptophyta; Magnoliopsida; Solanales; Solanaceae.
UGCAUUUUCUUCUUCUUCUCAAUUCAACCACUAGUUAUAUAUAGCAUUUCCUAUACAUUACUUUUUUGCAAUAUGAAAUGGAUACUUCAGAUCCAAGUCUGAAAGGGAACAAGUGAAGCUGCCAGCAUGAUCUAAACUUGGCCAGUUAAUAAUUAUACAUAAAUAAGAGAAAUGGAUGGCCAAGGUUAGGUCAUGCUUUGACAGCCUCACUCCUUCCUCUUUUGACGACUCAACGGAUUCUGAAAAGCAUAAUAUUAUUUUUCUAAAAACUGAGUUUGACCGAGCAACAAGGAAAUCACUGUUUAAGAGUAGAAGGAAAGGUGGUCAAGGAGUAAUUGAGUCUUUCACACCUACUCCUCUCCAGCUGCCCCUGUCCACCCUUGGAUCUCUCUCAGUUUUCGCUCUAACAUUUUGUGUGCAAAUGUAUAACUGAUGAAUAAUGGAGAUCAUAGACUGAAUAGUACUAUUUUAGGUGUUUAUUUUAUGUUGAUGAGACACAGAUCGGACCUUGGGAAUCAGAAAAGAGAAAGGAGUUAUAAGGUAGGAGAGGAUUUUAUGGCAAGGACAAAUUCCUAGGGAGAUUCGAUCUUUAUCGCUAAAUUUGUUAUACUUUUGAAAUUAUGGAUUCAUAAUUUAUAUUGGAUUGAAAAUGAAAGUUUGGUUGAAUUUAGUAAUUGUACUUAUUUAAAUAAUACUAUUGUAUUGCAAUUGUAAA